This is a non-coding RNA of Callorhinus ursinus (northern fur seal), 637 nucleotides long. NCBI's taxonomy places the organism in Eukaryota, Metazoa, Chordata, Mammalia, Carnivora, Otariidae. The record is from RefSeq and is a predicted model, not a curated record.
GGGGGGUCCGCGAGCACCUGUUUUCCAGAGACCUGUCCCAGGCUUCCAGUGGAUUUUCCAAGGGCUCUGUGACCAAGAACCACUACUUUCAGAAGAGCCCAGGCCUGUGUUCCUGUGGUGCCCAGAGCGGCCGGGCCGAGCAUCAUGACGUCCGCCUUGGAAAACUACAUCAACCGAACUGUUGCAGUUAUAACUUCUGACAGAAGAAUGACUGUGGGAACACUGAAAGGGUUUGACCAGAUCAUUCAUUUGAUUUUGGAUGAAAGCCAUGAACGAGUGUUCAGCUCUUCACAGGGAGUAGAACAAGUGGUGCUGGGGUUAUGCAUCGUAAGAGGUGACAGUGUUGCAGUCACUGGAGAAAUUGAUGAAGAGACAGAUUCUGCGCUUGAUUUGGGGAAUAUUCGAGCAGAACCUCUAAACUCUGUAGCACACUGAGGAAAAAUUACAUAAUUGGACAUCUGUAAAUCUUGUAUAGAAACUGAUUAUUCUGAGGAUGAUGUAUGGAAUUUUUAUGAAUGUGUAAUUGUAGACUUUGACUCCAUAUUGAUUCAUUGUAAUAUGAUAUGUAAAUUAAAAUAUUUCUACAUUUCCUUGGGAAAAAAAAAAAAAGAGCCCAUAUGCUGCCCUCUUCUCUCUA